GACGAACGCUGGCGGCGUGCUUAACACAUGCAAGUCGAACGGAAAGGCCCUGCUUUUGUGGGGUGCUCGAGUGGCGAACGGGUGAGUAACACGUGAGUAACCUGCCCUUGACUUUGGGAUAACUUCAGGAAACUGGGGCUAAUACCGGAUAGGAGCUCCUGCUGCAUGGUGGGGUUUGGAACGUUUCGGCGGUUGGGGAUUGACUCGCGGCUUAUCAGCUUGUUGGUGGGGUAGUUGCUUACCAAGGCUUUGACGGGUAGCCGGCCUGAGAGGGUUACCGGCCACAUGGGGACUGAGAGAGGGACCAGACUGCAACGGGAGGCAGCAGUGGGAAAUAUUGCACAAUGGGCGGAAGCCUGAUGCAGAAACGCCGCGUGCGGGAUGACGGCCUUCGGGUUGUAAACCGCUUUCGCCUGUGACGAAGCGUGAGUGACGGUAAUGGGUAAAGAAGCACCGGCUAACUACGUG
This 468-nucleotide ribosomal RNA is filed under the name uncultured bacterium. RNAcentral describes it as "partial 16S ribosomal RNA". It matches the Rfam family "Bacterial small subunit ribosomal RNA", at positions 28 to 507 of the family's 1533-position model. The record is from RNAcentral.